GAUUAACGCUAGCGGCAGGCUUAAUACAUGCAAGUUGAACGGCAGCACAGGUAGCACUACUGGGUGGCGAGUGGCGCACGGGUGCGUAACACGUAUGCAACCUACCCUAUACAGGCGAAUAAACUUUAGAAAUGAGGGCUAAUACGUCGUAGUAUUACAGAUGGGCAUCUAUUUGUAAUUAAAGAUUUAUCGGUAUAGGAUGGGCAUGCGUCCCAUUAGUUAGUUGGUAAGGUAACGGCUUACCAAGACGAUGAUGGGUAGGGGAUCUGAGAGGACUUACCCCCACACUGGUACUGAGACACGGACCAGACUCCAACGGGAGGCAGCAGUAAGGAAUAUAGGGCAAUGGCCGCGAGGCUGACCCAGCCAUGCCGCGAGCAGGAAGACGGGCUUAUGGGUUGUAAUCUGCUUUUAUACGGGAAUAAUAGAGUGUACGCGUACAUUUAUGCAAGUAUCGUAGGAAUAAGCAUCGGCUAACUCCGU
This 483-nucleotide ribosomal RNA is filed under the name uncultured bacterium. RNAcentral's name for it is "partial 16S ribosomal RNA". It matches the Rfam family "Bacterial small subunit ribosomal RNA", at positions 28 to 506 of the family's 1533-position model. The record is from RNAcentral.